CUUCUGCAACAAGAGAUCGUAACGCAUCCUUCCUUUUCUCACUCUCUCACUCGCUUCUUGUUUUCGUUUCGCUCAUCACAGAUCGGCCCCCUCCCCCCACACACGCACACCCCAACAACCCCUCGCACACCACCGCAUUCUUCCUUGUCUUUCUGUGCUCUCAUAGCUUUCCCCUCCCCCAUCCCCUCCUUCGUCGUCUCGUGCGUACUUCCUCCUUCGCGGCUGUUGUGUAGGGCGUUGGCGCACCGCAUUCUGCCCCCUCCCCCCUUAGCCACAUACACAUAUUUUCUUCUUUUAUUCGGUUGACCAUCCAAUCAGCAGGAGCGGCAUUAUUGUGAGCUCGCAUCGUCCGCAGAAGCCGCACGGCCUCCCGACCCCUCCUCCCAUUUCGUUCGCUUCUUUCUUUCCCAUCCUCGUCGACACCUGCUGCGUGUUCGAGUCGACGAGGACGACAGCGCAGCAGCAUCACGGAUCUCCGCCACCACUCGUCUUUACUCCUUUUCCUUUUCGCUUAGCCGGCACGUUGCUGCGAGCCCCCCCCCUCCCGCAUCAAGCAUCUUCAAUCGAUAACAAAACCGUUUUACAGCAGCUGCGGCGCUAGAAUCAGUGGAAGGAUGUACGCGCUCGAAAUCUCGACCACCUCGCCGUACCGGUCGGCACCAUACUACUCCCUGGUGAUUCGUAAACCGUACAUUCUCGGCCAGUACGCGGCGGCCGAUAUCAGCCUAGCAUACGAGGGUAUCUCGGACGAGCACGUGUCCGUGACGGUGCUGCAUGAAAACGAGGCGGCCCGCGAGGUGGAGGCAGCCGCACGCACAGCCCCCGCAUUUGAGCACGACAGCAUCGUUUCGGCCAAUGACGCGCUGGAGGAGCAGCGCAGCGGGGUCUCUGAUGCACCCGCCGAAGCUGACGGUAAAGGCUGCAGGCUGGUAGUGCGUGUGACGGCCCUACCCACGAAGGGCGACGCUGAAGUACGCCUUGGUGAGACGACCCUGAACGCGGGCGACUCGGCGAUCGCUCACGACGGCGACAUGCUAUAUCUUGGUGAUGGCAUCUGCGGCACUUUUCGCUACCGCCCGCUGAUGGUCGGUAUCGAGCGUAAUGCGUACCCCGAGGACUACAUGAAUGACCUGCGCCGCAUGUUCGGCCAACUAGGUGCGACUCUUGUGGAUGAGCCUAUACCUUCGCACGAGGCGCCGGCGAUUCCGAUUGGGCAGCUUUACUGUGCUGCCGAGCUCAACGACAGCACGAACUGCUUGGCUGCCCUUUCCUACGGCUACUCCAUCGUGCAGCCAACGUACGUGUUCGAGUGGUUCGCGGCGGUGGCGAAGAACGCGGCGGCGCCGCUCAGCACGCUGCCGGCCCCGUCGCGCUUCGAGGUGCCGGUGCGCUGCACAAAUCACCCUACCUCCACCACAUACCUUCGCCCCGAGUCGGACACCUGCCCGUUCUCCCUCUUUCCCAUCCCUUCCACCGCCAUGACCAACCGCUCGCGCGCCGACCUGUUCGCCAACCGCGUCUUUUUCUUCUUCACGGACGCUUCAGCGACGCGCUACUGGCGCGCGGUCGAGUGCUGCGGCGGCGCCGUCUACGGCCCGGGUGACGUGGAGGCGGCGAAGGAGGCGAUCCACGCGCUGGUGGAGUCGCAGCGCGAGGCCGGUGCGCCCGCCAACUGCCUACCUGAGAAUUUCUACAUCAUCAUCGACAACACAUCGGAGGCGGUGCUGCUGAACUCGGGGCUUGAGGCAGCAUCGCCGGAAUUGAUGGCGUUCAUCGAGGAGGCCUGCGCCACCUCCGGCGCCACUCACCUGCCGGUGAUGGGCGACCACUCCCUCUUUACAGCUCUGCUAAGCAACAAGUUCUACGAGGAACCGGUGCCACUGACGGCCGAACCCCCGACUGCUGCUGGCGUGGGGUACAGCACCGCGCACAGCGACCCGGGCGAUGCCUUCGUGAUGCCAUUGUUCAACCUCCAUACGGACGACGGCGAGGAGGGUGCGGGCACCACCAGUGCAGGGGCGCCGCGGUCGGGGUAUGCUAGCGGUGGUGCCGCGUCGUCCAGGGUCCGCUCCGCCUCUCGCGUGAGUGAGCGGCGCGCCAGCUCGUUGCAUCGCACCACCGCCCACACCCUUUCAUGGAGCCGGAUGCGCUCCCGAAGCCGCCAGCGUGCUCGCUCCCUCUCCGCGAGCACGCCUGGGCAGAACGACGGGGGCCUCUUCUUCGCCAACAGCGGGCAGCACUGCGCUGGUGGCACGACGGCGGGGCACCACCGGAGGCGUCGCCUCGUGCCCUUCGCUGUCCAAGGUGAGCUGCGCGCCUUUAUUGAAUACUUUGAUGUGCUGCGUAUUCGCAUCUACGCCUUCCUCGUGCGCGAGGAGCCGAAGCUGGACAAAGCCAUCACGGUCUAUCACAGGAACUACUUCGUUGACAGGGACACCAUGGACUACGCCCUGGAGGUUAAGGCGCAGGCGGUCGACUUCAUGGAACGCGUGGAGGACUUACUGGCGAGUAACGUGUGCCAUGGCCCGUACACGGAGUCGCUGCACCGCUUCUGGGCCGACUGCAGCGACAUAAACACAAAGGCAGAACACCUGCUGCACUGCUGGGAUCGGAGCAUGUCUGCCGCUGUUCUGCCUCGCCGCAUCCUCUCUCGCCGGCCAAGCAGCACAGACAGCCGCCGUGCGACGUCGUCGCGUAGCGUGACCUCGCGUGGUGCGGCACGGGCAGCGAACUCUCCGGCGUCGGCGGCGUGCAAAGCGGAGCCGGCCACGUCCGACACCAACGACGGCGCCGACGACGACCACGCCGCUGCGGCUUUCGUAGACGCUCAGCAGCCGAACGACAGCGAGGGUGCGUGCGAGUAUCAGAGCGAACACGCAGGACCCGAGGCCUCGCAGCCACUCGAGGCGGUGAGUCACAUUCACGAGCAACCGAUGACGGCGCAGGACGCCGCUGCGGCGGAGUCGCCGGCCACCGCCCCGAACGCCCCCUCCAUCUCCACGUCCACCCGCACAUCGCAUCGCCGGUCGUCCGCGUCGUCGCCGUCGCAUUCUCGCAGCGGUGCCGCUGCCGCCAAGCCGCGGUCGAUCCCCCUUGCGGCGCGGCCGCCGUGGGUGAGCGACUGGAAUGAUGAGAACAGCAGCCAACAGCAGCCGCAACAGAAGCAACAGAAGCAGCAGAAGCGGGCGGGGACACGCAAGCCCGCUUCACACACGCCUGCACCGACGCCGGUGCCUUAUCCGCCUCUGCGCGUGCCCUUGGCGAUUCUUCAGCCCGAGUGCGCGGCCGACUCGCCGACGGUUGUGCGUGCGCGCUCGGCAAGACGUGCCGGCAGCGCCCACGCUUGCCACCCGCCUUCGCAGCAGGAGCCGGAGCAACAGACCCACCGGGAGGGCUUCGGCGAAGGCUCCACCAGGCCUGAGGAGACCGAGGAUGCGACGGGGGCGCUGACGACGACCACACAGGUCCCCGUGGAGGCACCGGAGAUGAAUGUCACCGAAGAUGGAGAUGCGAGCCAAGUGCCCAGCGCACCCGCACCCGUCCCCGAGCCGGCCCCCGCAAAGAAGACGCGUGCGUCGACGUCGCGGCACCACACGGGGCCGCUCAAGCGGCGCAACAACUCCGCGCCGGCCUCAAAGCGCAACAACUCAGGCACUACGCCGCUCCGGUCGAACGGCCAGGGCGCAGCUGCUCACGCUGCCGCCAACGGAAACGGCUACCACCAGCGUGACGCGUCUGCGGUUGUGGCUGCUAACGGCAAUGGCAAUACCCAGCAACAGCGUGCCCGCCCCACGCGGAAGUACUGAGAGAGGCGCCAUUAUGAUCUCUAAUCAAAGGGAUCGGUGCAGUGCAAGCGAGUGACCAUAGACGAGCACGACGGGAGGAGGUGCGGUGAGGAUGGGGCCCACCUGCGCAAGCCCCUCCCACCCCAAACGCAUAGGCACGUACGCGUCGGUAGGUAGGCGGGCGAGACACAUCGCCAUGCGGACGCUCCGGUUUCUGCGGGAGGUGAUGAUGCGCGCAACUGCUGUCUCGAGACGCAGAGCCGCCACCACCUCCGUCCCUCCCUGUGUGUGCCCGCGCCUCUGUCUCUCUGUCUCUGUGUGGGGGCGAGUCUCCUCCCUUUCUUUCGGUUUACAUCUCGUGCGCGGGCUUGAAGCGCACGCCAGCGCCCGCUCACUCGCCCAUUCGCGGAUUUGUUUUCGCUGCCUCUCUUUUCUCGUAGAGCGUCGAGACGGUGUUGUGUGUAUCUGUUCAUAUCUGUAUGUGUGUGUUCGUGUGCGGCUGGAGGGAUCCUCCAAAGCAGGAGAACGAGGGAGCGAGUGGGCGAGAGCGAGGGAGUAAGGAAAAGGCGUGGUAUACGGUUUGUUGUCGUGCGCGUGUCGGCCGUCUCAUAUGUGCGCGUGCGUGUGCCCUCUAACGUGUUUCUUCUGCUUUUCAUUUUUGCCUUCGUUGCGUUCCGCAAAUGUGCCGGCCAGCCGGCGCACGUGUGUGCGCGCGUGCGUGCUGGCGACGGUGCAGAUGAUGAUGCUAUUCUCAUGCACCUUACGUGCUUCUUCUCUUUAUUGUUAUUUACCUCCGCGGCUCUUCUUCGUCCCCCCUCUCCCAUUUUUCGCACACGCACUCUGCUCUCGCGUGCGCCAGAACGCACAGGCGGGGGUGGGGGCCGGAAGACGGUUGCGCUCGCCCUUGUUUCUCUGGCCUCCACCCCCCCCCCCCCAACGCGGCUGAGUUUUGUUUGCUCUUGUGCUCUCUUUUCGGUUGCUUCCUGUCUUUAUAUUUGUUGUUGUGCGUGCGUGCGCGCGGUUUGGACGCCUGACCGGAUGAUGAUCGACAUCCCCCUUCCCCACGAUACCUGUGCCCUCUUCCCCCUCCAUCCGCCCAGGAUCAUCGGCCGUCACUAACGCGUGUGAAGGUUGCGAUCAAUGCGACAUAUAUAUAUAUAUAUGCAAGCGUGCACUUGUAUGUGUUCGUGUGUAUGGGAGUGUGUGGGUGUGUGUCCCCUUAUCCAUUCUCUCACCGUGUGUACGUUUUGUUUCUGUUUUGGGUUUCCUGUCUUCGCAAGCGAUGGUGGUUGUCUGUGCGCAUGCAUGCAUGUGUGUGUGUUCUCUCUCUGUUUUUGGGCUGCUGCUCCUCUUCUUACGCUGUGUCUUUCUUCUCUUUCUCUCUCUAUAUUGCCCUUCCUCUUUACUUUUCGCUAACCCCGACCAUGCUGAUUCCGGGUCACCUUACCGCGCUGCCACACCGGGUCCAGUGCCCACUCUUUGUGGGGAAGCCAAGCAGCCUGCGCAUCCUGUCCCGCCCCCAUUCGGGGAUACGGGUGCGGACUCGUGGUGUCGGCAGACAGGUCUGGGCUGGCGCCGUGCCGAAGAGGCGUGCUGUCACGAUGAUCACACCUGCACCAGCUCGCCGGGAAUCGUGCCGAUGAUUCAACAAAGAUACGAAAGGAGAAAAAAAAAGGCAGCAGCCACGGCACACCGGCAGCGGUGCAGCGUCUCCGAGGGUCCUGACCCCUGAGGCUGGCAAACCCCUUCCUUGAGCACACCCGGCAUGCAAGGGGACCAGCCCCUACUAGCGGCGCGACGGAGACCACCGCCUCCGCCCUCGAGCGGGGCCAUGGACGCAGCACGCUUUGGAUCAAGGCAUGCAGUGCACCCAGGUCUGCCUGGUGCCGAUCACACGAUACGCACGUGAAGAAGGGACGAGGAGGGGCGAGGGGAGCCCGCUAGACACGUGGCCCCGGCUCGACGGUGCGAAGGCUCGUCCAAGACGUCCAGGGCUCAGCCGCAGCGCAACAGAGGGCCGGGUGAGCUGAGGUUGUCUGCAUGCGUCUGGGUGAUGACUUGUUGUGCUUCUCUUCCGAAAUUUCGUUUUCUUUUUAUAUGGUAUCUAUAUAAGCACACAUGCAGCACCAUGUUGUGUUAUGUCGUCGUUGCUGGAGGACUGCUUUUUGUGCAUGUGUGCGUGUGUGUGUCGCUGCCGACUUUACUACAACAGAUGCGAAGAAACAAGGAACGAAUGAAGCAGUCUCUAGUGGGGUGAACGAACGAGGGUGCAGUGUGGCGUGACGUCUCGCUCCCUACAUGCAAUCAGGAAUGCUUUGUGGUUCACUUAUGUUUGUGUUGUUGGCGUUGGUGGAUGGCGGGCGAGGCUGGAGGGCUUCCGGCAAGGAAACCAAACAAAAACCGGCGGUGGAGAGGAGUGGAGUGAGAGAGGAUGAUAUCCGUAGGAAACCAACAAACCGACUUGAUUCCUCUGUACGCGUCUUUUGACGCUUCUCGAGUGGCUUCUUGCUUAUUUUCGCCUUCUCUUUUCCAUGUGCGUGUGUGUCCUGUGUGCCGCUCUCUCUCUCUCGCUUUCUCUCUGUCCUUUCCACUUUUCUCUCUAACGCAUGCGCAUCUGUGCUUCUUGUCCUUCGUCUUGUUUUUUGUGUCAUCAUCGCUGCUUCGUGAACUCUCUCCCUUCCCUUCCCUUCCCUUCCCUCCCCCUCUCUUUCUUUAUAUCUCCCCCCUACCCAACCCUCUCCCCGCGUCCGCGUGUCUCUCCCUCUGUCUCGCUCACUGACUCUUUUGCUUGACUGUCGAGAGAAAGGGCGCUUCGAUUCUGAGAGGGUUGAGCUUAUCAAGUGUAGACACACACACAAACACACACACACACGCACACAGAAAAAAAAAACAGAUGACGUCUUCUCCUUCUUCUCUUUGUGCUCCCGUGCCUGCCUUGAUGUUGUGUUGUCUUCACCGAGUAGCGAGGGAGAACACACCUUCUUUUCGCCCUUCCCUCCACCUCUGCGCGCACUUUUAUGGGAGUGCGCAUACGCGUAUCACUGUGUGCGCGUGCAUGCACCCGAUGAUCGUGCUUCUCUUUCUGUUCAAUCUGAUGGCUGCCCCGAGGCACUCUUCCUACCCCACAAACUGCGAUGCACAGAGACACCAACACGGGCGGCCAUGCUGCAGUAACUGGAAAGAGGCGCUGUGGGGUGAGGGGUGAGAUAUGGUGUGAAGAAGCUGAUCUGAGCGGACCCAUCACAAUGGACGAGGAGAACUUGAGAAAUAGAUCAGUGCCAUUCCGUCUUGACACUACUUCGUCUUCCUUGUGCUUUCUCCUCUUGUCCCCCAUUUCCUCCCUCUCUCCCAUUUUCCUCCCGCCCUUCUUUCUCGCCACCGCUGCCUCAUACGCCACCUUGCCUUUUACUUUCGUGUCUCUCUCUUCGCGCCCCAUUUCUUUCUUCUUGUUCUGACGCACCUGCACAACGAUAAUGAUGCUGGGGCUUGCGAAGGGCGUAGGAAGGAAGGGAGGGAGGAGGGGUGCCGGUAGCUGAUAGGGAUGGUCCUGCUGAUGACUGCGUGUUUUGCCUGUGCGUGUGCGCUCGUGCAUGCCCAUUUUUCAGCUUGCUGUCUUUUCCAAUACUCGCGGAUUUUUGCGUGCGUGUCGUUUCAUCGCUUUAGAGCGCACCUUUUCGCUGCGGCAUUUCUGUCACAAGUGUUGCCGCGCGUUGUGUUGUCGCCGUCACGAGGCGAGGGAGGGCGUUGUGCUGUCGAGGCGUCGCUCUUGUCGGUUUUUCUUGAAUGCGUUUUGCUCUUCACCUUCUCACCCCGUCCCACCCCCUCCCUCUUUUUCCACCUUCUCCGGCACACACACACACACACACACACACACACACACGGAAUCAAUGUAUGUGUAUGCGCGCAUGCGUGCGAGGCGUGUGUUGGACGCCUCGUUUUGUGUGCAUGCCUCCAUUUUCCUUGCCUCCGUCUCGCUGACUCGAACUUAUCGAAACUCAGGGGGUGCGUUGUGGCUUUCCAUGUCGUUUUUGUGCCUUCUUUUUCAUGGCUUGCUUGCUUUGCCUUUUUCAGGUGUGUAUGUGUGUGUGGGUGUGUGCGCGUGUUUCGCUUGGCUGAAUUUUUAUGCGCCUCCUCCUCCUCCUCCUCGCUGCCUUCAUCUGCGUGUGCCGCCUCUGCUACUUUGUUCUUCUUUCACGCGCUGUCUUGCCUUUGGAUGAGUGCACUGUGGCUCCUCUUGGCGCUUGCUGCUGCUGCUGCUAAGUCGUAGUGAGGCGUAGCCGAUGCUGGGCCACUUGUUCUUCUGGUUUCUCUUCUUCGUAGCGACACCAACAUCAUACACACACACACACGCCCACGCGCAAGCAGCAGCAGCGGAACGAGAAGGAAGCAACAGAGAAGACCACCUGCCAGCGAGUCAUGCAAUCAAACCUCUCUCCUCUCUCCCCGAGUACACAUGCCUACCUACAUUCACAUAUGCGUAUGUGCGCGCGUGUGUAUGUGUGUAGCCUAACACUCCUGUCGGUCAUCGGUGGUGGGUAGGAUGGAUUCGAAGCGCAGGCGGCAAGGGAGAGAGAUGGCACACCCGAACAAAAAAAAGUAGCGCGGGCGUGCGUGCUCUCACUCGCUCUCUGUCUUCUUGGGGGAGGGAGAGACGGAGGAAGGGGCAGGGCAGGUCGCUCGCGACGUUGCCACUGGGCACCUUUCCUGUUUCCAAUUUUGUUUUUGCUGUUGCACUUCCCCGUCGUCGAAGCAGCUAAAAAAAUGACCGACACACACACAUACACACGCAUGUGCGCUUAUCUGGGACAUGUCAUGCACAGUGCCACCGCAGUGUGUGCGUGUGUGUGUCUGCUGUGUCUCUCUCUCCCUCUGUGUGUCGUCUGCCUACAUGCUCUCUGACCUGUGGAGCUUCUCUUUCUUCCUUUCUUGUGUGUGCGUGUGCUCGACGGCCUCAUUUUGAUUAUAGGCUCCUUCACUUCUUUUUUUUUUGUGCGCGUGUGCGUGCGUGUGUGUGUGUGUGGCCUCUGCGGGUUUGUGGCACCGCGGAUUCUCAUCAUACUGACACGCGCAAACACGCAAGCGUGCGAACGGGCAUGGACACACAGAUGCCUUAACAACGAGGAAGCUGCGAUACGAGUGGACGAAGAAAGAACGAAGGAAACCAACAAAACAAAAUUUGAUCUGCAAGAGCGUGUGUGUAGCUGCGUGGCUGUGUGCUUUCCUUGAUCACCG
Molecule: unclassified non-coding RNA, 9017 nt
Filed under: Leishmania donovani
Lineage: Eukaryota; Euglenozoa; Kinetoplastea; Trypanosomatida; Trypanosomatidae
Description: gene:LdHU3.17.0750(CDS-product:hypothetical_prote in_conserved)
Source: RNAcentral